RNAcentral lists this long non-coding RNA (1549 nucleotides) under Numida meleagris (helmeted guineafowl). RNAcentral describes it as "lncRNA (ENSNMEG00000021537.1)". Lineage: Eukaryota; Metazoa; Chordata; Aves; Galliformes; Numididae. The record is from RNAcentral.
GCAACGUCUUCUUCAAAAGGCAAUGUGGCGUUAUGUGUAUUUGACAUUUACUGAAACGUAGACAGCUGGAAAAUAAUGGCCAUGGAAAAAGACAUUUGGGCUGUGAUAACAGGAUGUGUCUCAAUUUGGAAAUUUUCCUACUCAAUUUUUUUUUAAAAUUCUUUUCCCAUUUAGAAUCUUCAUCCUAUAGCUAGCUUUUAUUCAACUAGAACUGUACCUCUUUGUAAAAAUAUAAAUUGUCCUGUUUUUAUGUUGUUACAAAGUGUUUUGCAUGCUUCGAGACUUCUGAUGAUUUUUUGUGUUUGUUUUUGUUUUUUUAUUGCUUUUUUUUUUUUUUUUUUUUUCAACUUAACUUCCUCAGAAACUUUUCUCUUAAGCAUUGUUGACCAUGAAGGAACUUCUUCAACAAUUCCUGGAGGCACUGCCAAAGCAGAUCACAGGGAGCUGUGAAAAUCACUCUGGGACAUUAAUCCUGCUGUGAGCACUGUGCUAACCUGCCUCUGCUGCUCGCUGGUAUUACCAUGGCAUGGCUCUGCACGGUGUGGCACAGACGCGCUGGCUAUUUUAGAGGUACUUAGGUGUUUCUAGCAUAAUUUUUUCAUUUCCUGGAUUUAGACUCGUGUCUAACUAUCUGCUUUAUUUGGUGCCUAAUCAGCACCAGUACUGUAUUUUCCCAGUGUAACUUUCUCUAAAUCUGUCCAGUGCAUCAUAUGUUAACUGUCUAAACAAGCGUCUGUUUUAACGGGUCUGCUGUGUGAAAACUCAUGUUUACACACUGAAACUUCUGCCUUUCUACUAGCAGUUUCUGGAGAUAAAUGCCAGAAUUAGAUUGCUGUUGAAAAACUGACACAAAGAGGACACAAAGUCAAAGUAGAUUCUGUUGUGGGUGUUCUGAGUGGGUAUUUAAAAAGGGAAAAAACUGAUCAUCAAAAUGAUAUAUUGUACAAAAUCCUCUUGUACUUUCAGCUUUCAUUGCUGCUUCUGAAUGAUAUAUGUGCCGCUCAAAAAGCAAAGUGUCCUGAUUUAAUUCCCCCCGUACCCAUUUUUUUUUCUGUUAAAAUUAAACAAAACCAGUGGCAAUGGGAGUAAGGAUAGCUCUGCAAGUAGCUCUUUGCCAGAGAGAGUCAGCAAUGCCAGGGGAUUUGUGGGAUUUAUCAAAAGGAAUUUCUAUAACUCUCCAAUGGAUGUUGAUAGCAUGGUCAUGUAAUUUCAAACAGCAUUUUAAAUAUAAAUUAUAAAUUCUUCUUCUGGAAACAACCCUGCACUCUCAGAGCAUUACUAUGUUGUACCUGUCAUGUACCUGUAGGAUGUAGCUCAUGUCCCCAUCUUCAGAUUUUUACUGUCAUUUUUUUUCCCAGGGAUGUAUCCCUGAGCCUUCCACAAAGGACAGAAACUAAUACAACCAGCCAGCACAGAGCUGUAAUUCCAAUUCGUUCAAGAUGAAAUUUGCAAGUGUUUUUUGUGCAUGAAAUGAAAAGUCAUGGUGCACCCUUAUUUCAUCUCCAUCAAAUAAUCAACUGUUGCUGAAUAAAGUAAAAUAAAGCCUGCA